This 71-nucleotide transfer RNA is filed under the name Loxodonta africana (African savanna elephant). It matches the Rfam family "tRNA". Rfam says of the family: Transfer RNA (tRNA) molecules are approximately 80 nucleotides in length. Lineage: Eukaryota; Metazoa; Chordata; Mammalia; Proboscidea; Elephantidae. The record is from Rfam by way of RNAcentral.
GCAGUGGUGGUUCAGUGGCAAAAUUCUCACCUUCCAUGUGGUAGGCCCGGGUUCAAUUCCUGGCCAAUACA